RNAcentral lists this ribosomal RNA (253 nucleotides) under uncultured bacterium. Its description in RNAcentral is "partial 16S ribosomal RNA". It matches the Rfam family "Bacterial small subunit ribosomal RNA", at positions 524 to 776 of the family's 1533-position model. The record is from RNAcentral.
UACGUAGGGUGCGAGCGUUAAUCGGAAUUACUGGGCGUAAAGCGUGCGCAGGCGGCUUUGCAAGACAGAUGUGAAAUCCCCGGGCUCAACCUGGGAACUGCAUUUGUGACUGCAAGGCUAGAGUACGGCAGAGGGGGAUGGAAUUCCGCGUGUAGCAGUGAAAUGCGUAGAUAUGCGGAGGAACACCAAUGGCGAAGGCAAUCCCCUGGGCCUGUACUGACGCUCAUGCACGAAAGCGUGGGGAGCAAACGGG